This 331-nucleotide unclassified non-coding RNA is filed under the name soil metagenome. RNAcentral describes it as "partial contains 5.8S ribosomal RNA, internal transcribed spacer 2, and large subunit ribosomal RNA". The stretch from base 1 to 120 matches the Rfam family "5.8S ribosomal RNA", at positions 35 to 154 of the family's 154-position model. The record is from RNAcentral.
GAUGAAGAACGUAGCGAAAUGCGAUAAGUAAUGUGAAUUGCAGAAUUCAGUGAAUCAUCGAAUCUUUGAACGCACAUUGCGCCCGCCAGUAUUCUGGCGGGCAUGCCUGUCCGAGCGUCAUUUCAACCAUCAAGCCCCGGGCUUGUGUUGGGGACCUGCGUCCGACGCAGGCCCUGAAAACCAGUGGCGGGCUCGCUGUCCACACCGAGCGUAGUAACUAACCUCGCUAUGGAGUGGCGCGGGCGCCUGCCGUAAAACCCCCAAUUUCACAAGGUUGACCUCGGAUCAGGUAGGAAUACCCGCUGAACUUAAGCAUAUCAUAAGCGGAGGA